UCGAUUCUCCAUUCACCAUCAUCUACGGUUUAUCAAUAUUCGAUUUACGAGGUAUGUUCUUUAUUAUAUACUCGCAUUCCAUUUAUUAAUCUGAUCAUUUUUUGAUGAAAUAACAUUGAACUUAACUGUGGUAUAAUCUAUUCUUGCUGAAUCAUUGGUUGUGUUGCUGAAUUGUUGAUUGUAUUUCACUGUGUUUGAGUUUUUUAUUCAAAUAUGCCAAUGUGUACCAACUAUUCGAUGAAAUGCGUAAAUAAUAAUGUGUAUUAAUUUUCCUUCGAAUUUCAAGUGUCAAUAUGUGAAAAUGUGGAGUUCCAUUAAUCUAUGACACGGUCCUAUUGAAUCAUGAAAGGUAAAAAGAUUUUCAAGAAGAACAACCUCAGCGGAUAUUAUUUAUCAUGAUAUUCUGGCUUUAGAACCCAUUAUGAUCCAAUGGAGUUUUUCUGCAACAAAGCUAUCACCUUGAGAAGAUUCUUGAACGAAGGUAAAUCUUUUGAAGAUAUAUUGUCUUUGAAGUGAUCCACUAUGCUGGCUGAAGUUGAGCUCCCACCUUUUUGCUGAAUGAAAGAACAUAUUUGACGAAUCAGAAGUUCUGGAAGUACUCCAACAUUGCUUGCUGAUCUAGAAUGCCCAUUAGUUGCUGACUGUUUUCUUCCAUUGCAGGGUGUACCAAUGGCUAGCUGAUGUGAUAAGUUAUAUCUGCAACUCAUGUUAUAUAAAUGUUGGGUUAAUUUUAGUUUCUUUCCAGAUUUGGUUUAUAAAAUCAUCAUGACUUAUUAACAACUUUGUUCAUAACCUUUACAUAUUGUAUCAAACAUAACAUCACAUAUAACUUUAUGCACUAGAAUGGUGAUAUACCUCGCAUCACACCUAUUUGUUAUUCUAUCAAAAUAUUAAGAAAUUAUGAGUUAUUUUCUGACAUUGGGUUGUCCUUGAUUUUCAGAUUUUGUUCCCAUAUGAAGAAUUCAUAGAAUUUUUCAAUUAGGAGAAGCCAGGCUAUUCUCCUUUUGGACAUAUAAAUGGUGGAAACAGGUAAGUGAAGUUUUAUUUAGGCACUUCGUUUCUUGCUCAUCUAAAAUAAGGGGGAAAUGGGGGAUGUGAAUCUAACUCAAUCUAGAGCAAAACAAAGACAAUGCACCUAUUGUAAACGUACGCAUAUGAUCUUUGUUGGAAAAAUGAUGUCCUCAAUAUUCCAUUGAUUUUUGUUGCAACAUAUGGGUUAUAAAUUCAUUUCUUAUUUUUAAGCAUCCAACUUAAAUAGAUUUUUUCUAGAGUUCUCUAAAGGAUUCCUGAAAGUUAUUUCAAAUUUUUCUAUUUGGCUGUAUUUAAGCUUGAAGAUAAUGCACAGUGACCUGUGUAGUAUUGAAUUUUCAGACUGUAAGAAUCAUUACUGGCUGCAUUUCAGAUGAGAGAAAGUUCUAUUAAAUCCAGUGAAGUCCCGAGCAUGCAGACCUGCUGGUUUGGGAGAGGAUGGUCUCUGGUUGGAUAUAUAAAACUUACGUCAUCCAACCAAAAUGCUUCUGGUACACAUUCCUAUAUAUCGUGAAUCUAGCUUGCCUCUUGAUCUUAAAUUUUUCGACUUCCAAUAUCAUAUAUAUUCUCUAUUCUAAUAUUUUCUUUAUCCUUCUUGCUUACCCAUAUAAAUUGGAAUGUAUUUUCUCUUUUGGUUGUCUGAAAAUUCUUGCUUCGAAUUGUCUUUUAUGCGUAAGUGGGCCAUGAUAUUGUAGAUAGAACUGAUAUCUGCAACUUUUUUCAUGAUUUCGUAAGCUCUCAUGGCUGGUUCUUUGUAGGUUAUGUGAGGGAAGCAAUUGAAAUUUGAAACAUUGAGAUGGAACAAUGUAAAUUCCUUCAUUCUGCAUCUCCGAGAUAAUUAAUAGGUGACAUGCUCUGAACAUUCCUUAUAUUCAGAGUUGUAAGUUAAUGCAGAUUUUGAGUUAUUUCAGCUUAUACUUAUGUUCUAUGGUUUGUCUGUGGAUUUAUUUCUUGAAUUAAUCAGUCCACCAAAAUAUGUAGGACGUAUUAUUAUUUUGUUGAGAGCUUUGGCUGAGUUGGAGAUAAGAAGAGGAUGGAAAUGGUUUAUACAUAUUGUUCAGUAUGUAUAUCUUGACAUCUUAAAAAUAUAAUAGAUAUAUAGUUUAGUGACUGAAUUUAAAUGAUAAACUAAAUUUAUGAUCAUUAAAUUUAAUUGGAUUGAAAAUUUUAACUAUUUGAUGUUGGUUUGAGGUAAAUUCAGUUUAGCGUAUAUGUAAAAAUUCUAGCUCAUGUUUGGUUAGGUGUUUUUGGAGGUUGGAAAGAGAAUCAAUUAAUUGAAUCCAUUUCUUAUUGUUUGGUUUGGAUAAUAAGGUAACCAUUACCCUUACUUGGUAGUAAUUCAAUCACCCAAUUUGUUACCCCUCAAAAUAAAGGGGAGACAAAAGAAAGAGAAUUCCUUACUAAUGAUUUCUUUUCAUUGUUAAACCAAACAUUAAAUAAAAGUAAUACUUAUUGUUACCAUUCCACCCCUUUAUUUGAUUUCAUUCUUUUCAUUCCUCUACUCGAACCAAACGACCACUAAAUUUAAGUUCUCUAAUUCAUUUUUAAAAAAAUAACGAGUGUACCACGGUACCACAUGCAUAAGUUUACAUAUAUGAAUUUUACACUACACGGAGUCAUAUGGAAUGCUAUCUAGAUGUUGAAGCGGAAUGAAUUAGUUAAUUGGUGAAUUGUACCAAAAAAACAACAACUAUCGAUCAGUAUAUUGUAGUAAUGUUUUAGGGGUAAUUGACAUAUGCUUUCAUUGGUAUAGUUAGGAGAUUCUAAAAACAAAGUCUUGGUUGUGAUAUGUGUAAUUUGUUAAUCAUAUUAUUUGGAUUUUUCACUAUUAUCUAUGGGAUUUGAUUUGAUGUGCAUCUUGAAUGUGCUUUUAUGCAGAUUAUAUUAACAAAAGUAAACAAGGAGUCAAAUGGAAGGAACCAGAAAAUAGGGGAUAUUUGUGCAAUUUUUGAAAAUCGCGAAGUAUUGGAAGAUUGAGAGCUGUAGGG
RNAcentral lists this long non-coding RNA (3017 nucleotides) under Salvia miltiorrhiza (redroot sage). RNAcentral describes it as "long non-coding RNA (SMIL_LNC007788)". The record is from RNAcentral. Lineage: Eukaryota; Viridiplantae; Streptophyta; Magnoliopsida; Lamiales; Lamiaceae.